RNAcentral lists this ribosomal RNA (497 nucleotides) under uncultured bacterium. Its description in RNAcentral is "partial 16S ribosomal RNA". It matches the Rfam family "Bacterial small subunit ribosomal RNA", at positions 28 to 507 of the family's 1533-position model. The record is from RNAcentral.
GAUGAACGCUGGCGGCGUGCCUAAUACAUGCAAGUCGAGCGAACGGACGAGAAGCUUGCUUCUCUGAUGUUAGCGGCGGACGGGUGAGUAACACGUGGAUAACCUACCUAUAAGACUGGGAUAACUUCGGGAAACCGGAGCUAAUACCGGAUGAUAUUUUGAACCGCAUGGUUCAAAAGUGAAAGACGGUCUUGCUGUCACUUAUAGAUGGAUCCGCGCUGCAUUAGCUAGUUGGUAAGGUAACGGCUUACCAAGGCAACGAUGCAUAGCCGACCUGAGAGGGUGAUCGGCCACACUGGAACUGAGACACGGUCCAGACUCCUACGGGAGGCAGCAGUAGGGAAGCUUCCGCAAUGGGCGAAAGCCUGACGGAGCAACGCCGCGCGAGUGAUGAAGGUCUUCGGAUCGUAAAACUCUGUUAUUAGGGAAGAACAUAUGUGUAAGUAACUGUGCACAUCUUGACGGUACCUAAUCAGAAAGCCACGGCUAACUACGUG